CUGAAAGAAGAUUUAUACAUUUAUGUUGUGAAUGUAGGAAGUACACUAUAAGACGGACGUGAAGAAGCUUGGCUUUAAAAAAAAAAAAAAGUGAAAACUACACUGAUCAGUCUCAUUGGAAACCACAAAAGGAAGCAGUGUACUAAUUCACUUGUAGAAUGAAGGUUUAGCUGUUGAAGAAAUUUAGGUAAUGUCAUACUCUUUGAGUGUUGCUCUUACAACAGCCAGAGAAUCCAUGGUUUGAUUUUUGGUGGGUGAAACAGCUUAGCUGUGGAUUGCAACUGUAAUAGGCAUGCAUAUCGGGACAUAUCCCUUUCUUAGGGUGGUUACUUUAGCUGAACUGUCCUGGAACAAUAGAACUUUAUGGUCUUGAUACAUAAUUGUUGCAAACUGCGCAGUAUGGUUGUUUUUAUCAGCAAAGUUGAAAAGGUGGAUAAUAACUGGUCUGGUGCUAGUGCUGCCUUCCUUUGGAGAGCCAGGACUCUCCCUCUGCUUGGAUCAGGAAUUUGGGAACAAGAAAUAGCCAAACGAAUGGCUCGCCUCCUCCCCAGUAACUGGGUGACACAGUUCUGGGAGUACAACUGAUUUUAUACUG
Molecule: non-coding RNA, 595 nt
Organism: Pelobates cultripes (western spadefoot toad)
Lineage: Eukaryota; Metazoa; Chordata; Amphibia; Anura; Pelobatidae
Source: the annotation of a GenBank genome assembly